Molecule: non-coding RNA, 1952 nt
Organism: Pelobates cultripes (western spadefoot toad)
Lineage: Eukaryota; Metazoa; Chordata; Amphibia; Anura; Pelobatidae
Source: the annotation of a GenBank genome assembly
AUUGUUUAAGCUAUUGAUGUUGAUUGCUUUUUCAUAUAUUGGAUACUUAGCUUUAUCUCCUGUUUUCCCCUUAUUACUUACAUGCUGUCACUUUACAAGUGCUUAUUUUCUAUAAUGGUGGUUUCUUCCUCCCCUUAUUACUUAUAAUCCGUCACUUUACAAGUGCUUAUUUUCUAUAAUGGGGGCUUCUAUAAUGAGGGUGCAAGGGGUCGCCUGCCUGUACCAGCGGUCCGCGUUCGCGAUCACGGACCGCGCUGCAUUUUUUCACGCUAGUGGCGGCCAUUUUGUAUUUCGUAAUACCGCACCAGUCCUAGUGACAAACUGAUAUAGGGGCGAACCCCUACACUGGGUAACCCCAAGCGAGUCUACCCCAAUCCUAAGUGGCAUACAUAUACAGGGGUGACCCCCCCUCCGCUGGAUGACCCCCAAGCGAGUCUGGCACCAGUCCUAAGUGGCAUGCAUAUACAGGGGUGACCCCCCCUAUGCUGGGUGACCCCCAAGCGAGUCUGGCAACAGUCCUAAAAGGCAUACAUACACAGGGGUGACCAUUCUACGCUUGGUGACCCCCAAGCAAGCAUGGUAUCAACCGUAGUGGCAUACAAUUACAGGGGUGACCCCCCUUACAGACGGGCUGACCCCCGCUCCCUGCUAGGGACUAACCACAGAGUACUCUCUACCACUGUAUGCGCAGAUCACAGGUCGCUAUAAGUUUAUGUAUUACGGCAUCUCCAUGCUACAGCUGGGUUCAUCCGUACACCUCCUUACCGAUGUUGGAAGGAGGUCUCACACUGUGGCCAAACCUCCACAGUACAAUGACAUAUAAGGGUGACACCCUUGGAUUGCAUACCAAGGCUUCUACGCCUCACAUGUGUCACAACUUUACUGACCGCUCAACCCGGUAUUAUUGAGGGUGACACCCUCCUUAGACCACUCCUCAGAAUAUACUAGUGGUACUGAUUGAUUAACAUCUGGGUGACCCCCAGUGUAAGUGGAGGCACAAUGGGUAACAACAAGAGUACUACGGUAUUGAACUGGUAUUCUGUUUUCCAGGACCGAAUGCCACACCCCUACUACGAGACAAGAAUGCCCUCACCCCAGAGUUCGAUACCACGGUGGUGAUAUUUAUGUCCCGAUCAGGCCAAGAACCACGCAAAGGCUUAGGAAACGGGCUUAAAGCAGUUCAAGACUAACUACUGGAUAUGAUUGACCUUGGCAGAAAUACUCUAAUUUGCAGACCUAGCCCUCGCCCAAGAAACACCGUUAAAGACUCAUGAUGUGAGGGAAUGGGUGCAACGGGCAAUAUGCACGUUGAGCAACACGAAUGUAGCCAGGUGCGUGGAAUGACGCAAAGCGGCCCUGCUAAAAGGGUUCCCAGGACGUCUGGGUCCUCCAAACAAUAAAGGGGUACGCGAUAGGAUUCACCAGUAUUCCGUGCAGGUCAACCGAUCACCCCACUGCGGGCACCGAAAGCCCACAUAUCGCUCACAGACAAGGUGAUUCGACCACUGUUCACCAAAGGAGCCGUAGGGUUCGCUCCAGACGAUCAGGGCUAUUUCAGCAAAUAUUUGGUGGUCAGACAGAAUAAGGGGGGCUAUCGUCCAGUCAUCUACUUACACCAACUCAAUGGCUUGAUUGUGUACCGAUAUUUCAAGAUGGAAGGUAUCCAUCUCCUACAGGAUCUAAUCCUUAACCACCACUGGUUCACACGGUUAGAUCUGAAGGAACGGUCAUGACACAGCUCGAGAGCAUGGGGUAUCUGCGGUCUCAUAUAUCUGGACGACUUGUGGUUUUCUUGCGAGUCCAGUUCCAGACUACAGUCACAAAUGAGGUUUGUAAUAAGAUUCCUGAAAUGGUUGGGUCUUCUUGGUGAACAGAGAGAAGUUGGCUUUGUCCCUGUCUCGAGUGAUUCAUUUCCUUGGAUUCGAAAUAUACUCCAACUCAUGCGUCUUACG